This 159-nucleotide small nuclear RNA is filed under the name Sus scrofa (pig). RNAcentral describes it as "U2 spliceosomal RNA (ENSSSCG00065046085.1)". It matches the Rfam family "U2 spliceosomal RNA". From Rfam's summary of the family: U2 is a small nuclear RNA (snRNA) component of the spliceosome (involved in pre-mRNA splicing). Complementary binding between U2 snRNA (in an area lying towards the 5' end but 3' to hairpin I) and the branchpoint sequence (BPS) of the intron results the bulging out of an unpaired adenosine, on the BPS, which initiates a nucleophilic attack at the intronic 5' splice site, thus starting the first of two transesterification reactions that mediate splicing. Lineage: Eukaryota; Metazoa; Chordata; Mammalia; Artiodactyla; Suidae. The record is from RNAcentral.
AUCACUUCUCGGCCUUUUGGCUAAGAUCAAGUGUAGAAAUGUAGGGGGAGAGAAGGGGAAUGUGCUGGAAGAUAGUCUCUCCCCAGUUUUUUUUUUUUUAAUUUUUUUAAUUUCCCCAAUACAUUAUUUUGUCCCUACUGUACAGCAUGGUGACCCAAU